AUUGAACGCUGGCGGCAGGCCUAACACAUGCAAGUCGAACGGUAACAGGAAGAAGCUUGCUUCUUUGCUGACGAGUGGCGGACGGGUGAGUAAUGUCUGGGAAACUGCCUGAUGGAGGGGGAUAACUACUGGAAACGGUAGCUAAUACCGCAUAACGUCGCAAGACCAAAAAGGGGGACCUUCGGGCCUCUUGCCAUCGGGUGUGCCCAGAUGGGAUUAGCUAGUAGGUGGGGUAACGGCUCACCUAGGCGACGAUCCCUAGCUGGUCUGAGAGGAUGAUCAGCCACACUGGAACUGAGACACGGUCCAUACUCCUACGGGAGGCAGCAGUGGGGAAUAUUGCACAAUGGGCGCAAGCCUGAUGCAGCCAGGCCGCGUGUAUGAAGAAGGCCUUCGGGUUGUAAAGUACUUUCAGCGGUGAGGAAGGGAGUAAAGUUAAUACCUUUGCUCAUUGACGUUACCCGCAGAAGAAGCACCGGCUAACUCCGUG
Molecule: ribosomal RNA, 490 nt
Filed under: uncultured bacterium
Lineage: Bacteria
Description: partial 16S ribosomal RNA
Rfam family: Bacterial small subunit ribosomal RNA
Source: RNAcentral